Molecule: ribosomal RNA, 301 nt
Filed under: uncultured bacterium
Lineage: Bacteria
Description: partial 16S ribosomal RNA
Rfam family: Bacterial small subunit ribosomal RNA
Source: RNAcentral
CAGUCGCCGCGGUAAUACGUAGGUGGCAAGCGUUGUCCGGAAUUAUUGGGCGUAAAUGGCUCGCAGGCGGUUUCUUAAGUCUGAUGUGAAAGCCCCCGGCUCAACCGGGGAGGGUCAUUGGAAACUGGGAAACUUGAGUGCAGAAGAGGAGAGUGGAAUUCCACGUGUAGCGGUGAAAUGCGUAGAGAUGUGGAGGAACACCAGUGGCGAAGGCGACUCUCUGGUCUGUAACUGACGCUGAGGAGCGAAAGCGUGGGGAGCGAACAGGAUUAGAUACCCGGGUAGUCCCUGUCUCUUAUAC